RNAcentral lists this ribosomal RNA (497 nucleotides) under uncultured bacterium. Its description in RNAcentral is "partial 16S ribosomal RNA". It matches the Rfam family "Bacterial small subunit ribosomal RNA", at positions 28 to 507 of the family's 1533-position model. The record is from RNAcentral.
GAUGAACGCUGGCGGCGUGCCUAAUACAUGCAAGUCGAGCGAACAGACGAGGAGCUUGCUCCUCUGACGUUAGCGGCGGACGGGUGAGUAACACGUGGAUAACCUACCUAUAAGACUGAGAUAACUUCGGGAAACCGGAGCUAAUACCGGAUAAUAUAUUGAACCGCAUGGUUCAAUAGUGAAAGACGGUUUUGCUGUCACUUAUAGAUGGAUCCGCGCCGCAUUAGCUAGUUGGUAAGGUAACGGCUUACCAAGGCGACGAUGCGUAGCCGACCUGAGAGAGUGAUCGGCCACACUGGAACUGAGACACGGUCCAGACUCCUACGGGAGGCAGCAGUAGGGAAUCUUCCGCAAUGGGCGAAAGCCUGACGGAGCAACGCCGCGUGAGUGAUGAAGGUCUUCGGAUCGUAAAACUCUGUUAUUAGGGAAGAACAAAUGUGUAAGUAACUAUGCACGUCUUGACGGUACCUAAUCAGAAAGCCACGGCUAACUACGUG